This is a long non-coding RNA of Bombyx mori (domestic silkworm), 6306 nucleotides long. RefSeq lists it as uncharacterized. The transcript has 2 exons. The record is from RefSeq and is a predicted model, not a curated record. NCBI's taxonomy places the organism in Eukaryota, Metazoa, Arthropoda, Insecta, Lepidoptera, Bombycidae.
AAUAAUCCUUACAUUCGUCAUAAAAAAGACACUGUGUGCGAUGAUUCAUAACGAGUGCCGAAUGAAGAAACACAAUUAAGCCAUUACUCGUGUCCGUACGUAUUCGCCCGCACUCGUCGAGUAUCUAAAUGACACGUAACGAACUCAGAUUUACGUAAAUGAAACAAAGAUUUCUCCUUCGAGUGCAAUAACUAUAAAAAUACUAACGUAAGAACAAAACUGUCUAUUAAUAAUUAUUAGGUAUAUAUUACUGUGUAAUGAUUAAUUUACAUUCGAAAUAAUCCUUUUCAAAAUGUAUUUUAUUGACGAUUUCUUAUCGUUUUUCGCAGUUCCAUUUAACCUUUGCCCGUUGUUUCAUUGCGUGUUUAGUAUAUGUGAAAGAGCACUUGUACUGAUUGAAUAUUUUGUUUAUAUUAAAGUAGUGAAGCUUGGUUACGUUCCGAUGUGACCAUAGAAAGUUGUUCGAUAAAAUAUUUAUUUCUUGAAAUUACUCGCGCGCUAAAUAUUAGAGACAGUUAAGGACGCGCUAAAGACACUAUAAGAGCAAACCUUCCCCGAAAUGAUAACAACAAGCAUACCAAGAGCUGGAUGGCAAAUGGAUGGAUGGCAAAUGGAUACUUGGCAAAAUGAUCUUGGAAACACUGAAUGAGCAGCAGUUCCAGGCAGUAACAAAAAACUUUGCUGCAUUGGCGAUUGGAUAACUUAGGUUCGUUUUUUUAUUGUAUGUCUAUAUGUUCGUAUUUCAGCUGUUAAUUUACGUGAAAACUAUUGGCAAAUUUGAUAUUUUGAAGAUAGGUUGUAUUCUAUCUAGCAAGCGCUUGACAACUGGGUUUUGGAGAUAUAGCGGGAUAAUCCUACUAUGCUCCCAAUGUUUAUCAACACAAUAUCGAAAUUAUUAAAACAAAACAAUUGUUUUAUUGGUGAUGUUUUACAGAAUGAAUUAAUUGAGAACACUAAAGGAAAGAUUCUCAAUGCACUUUUGUACCUACGUAUUUAAAUAACAUUAACACUAAUUGUCAUUGACAUUUUGAUAUUGUCAAUUCUUUGUAUAGGCACAGAUACAUACAAGGUCGUCAAGGCCAUAAUCAUAUAUAAUUGAAAAUAUUUAUGUGUUAAUAUGUCAGAAAACUAAAAGGUUAGGCGAGAUUCUAAAUAAAUUUCUAAAUAAUCCUCGAGGUAGUUAUAUUCACGAUGAUUCGUUGUGUGGUUUGAUGGUGAUGGAUGCUCUUAUUGUCUUGACCUGUAUUUAUCAAUAUACGUAAAGGAAAUAAUCAACGUAACAUAACUUUCACUAAUUUAAAAACGUCCGAUGAACUUGAAAAUUAGGACACGCAUCAAGAACGAUGACUUUUAUACGACCCAGGCAACGACGAAAAGCAAAGCCGCGACAUGCUUGGUUGAAAAGCAUUCUUGUCAGUCCCCAGUCUUCAGUAUUGCUUGCAAUACGUGCUUUUAGGCCCCUCAAACACCGGCCACCGUCUCUCACUCUUGGUCGUGAUCGACGAGUUCGACGAGAGGAUCAAUCCGUAGACAAAGUAUACCGAGUUUCUCGCCGGAUGGGUUCGGAGGCGUUAAUGUCUUCAGGUCCUUAGGAUCUAGUAACCACAUCACAACAGAUGGAACUGGGAGCGCGUUUACACAUUUAAACAAUGAAAAACUUUUUACAAGUAUCUCAUAAAGUGAGGUAUACGAACAUGUAUUAUGACUGCCAUACUUCCACGAAGAAAUGCGAUUACCGCCAGCCACCUCGAGCAUAAGAAUGAUAUCUCAAUUGUGUUGUAUAACGGCUGAUCAAAUCGGAACGCGGGCCUGCUUCACUGCAGAAACAGGCAAGACGGUGGUACUUAUUCGUGCGGGCUUACAUUGUUCCCUACCACCGUCUAAUGGCAUUAAAUGGUAAAAUUAAGCCCACCGAGUCCCUCGCCGGAUCUUCUCGGUGCGUCGCGAUUCCGAUUCGGUGUUAGAUUCUGUGAAACGCUGCUUUGCUAGGGCUGGCGUUGCCAAAUUCUCUCAGGUUUAUGAGCUCACCUAACCGUCCGCGCGUUACUGGAAUAACCUCUUAGGCUACCAGCGAAUAGGUAAAAAGAACGGUAACAGUACAGUGGUCUCAUUACUUUGACUAAAUAUAACCAGGUUGAAAAAAGAAAGAGGUGUCAUAUGACCACCCGGUUGGAAUGGAGCUCCAUUUUCCAUUUUUUUGUGUGUAUAUUAAGUAGUAAUCAAAUAAUAAAUAAAGAGUCAGUAUAAAAUAAAAACCAAUCAUAAAAUUUGAAUAAAUGCGAACAAAGUUGGUAUUGCUUUAAUCAUGGAUUUCUGGAAUAUUCGUGAAAAUAGGUACAUUACUGUCUUAUCUUAUUAUUUAAUAUAAAUUUAUAAAAUUUCUUUGAAUAUAUUAAAAAUUGACGACCAGUUGAAUCGAUAGAAAAAAGUUUCACUUGCCUAGGUGAUCGGAAAGUGCCCCUUAACUCAUUAGACAUCAGGAAAGUGCCCCAAAAAUCACUGCAAACUGUCGCUUUUUGGGGUCGUUUUUCAUUAUUACUUUUUCCGGUCUAGCCCCUUAGUCCGCAAACAAAACAUGCGCUAAUAUGCGUAAAAAUAUAUUUGUUUGUCUUGUCAUUCAAGUGUGAUCAUGUACGUAUUAUUAAAAAUAUGUUUUCAUUAAUGUAUUAUGUUACCACUACUGCCACUCGUGUUUAUUUUCGAGAAAUGUUCUCUUUAAUUCGAUUUAUACCUAACGAAAAAUUGUACUAUGUCAUUUAUAUUAAUACAUGUGUCAUGCGCAAUUAUAAAUAUCCUGUUUUUUAAAUCCAAUGUUCAAGUUCCAGUCACCGCGACGGCUGUGCAAGUUCAUUGACACUUACGAUGACACCGCGCGUAUCAAUUUUUCAAGGAAUGUACACACAACGUUUCUUGUCUUGAUUGCAGUUGAGAAUUCAGUUUUUUUUUUCAGUAUCAACAGGAGGCUUUGCUUAUACGUGUGUGCAUCGAAAAAUAACUAAAUAACAUCGUAUUUUAAUACAUCUACUAUAUUAUCGUGUACUAACGGCGGAUCCAGGGGGGGGAUGACACCCCCCCCCCCCCCCGAGCAGAUUCCAGGUUCAGUUUUGCGGAGUUUUGCGUCAUACCCCUCGACAUACCUCUAGCUGAUAGUACUUCUCUGGAUGUCUUCAAGAGAAGAUGGCAAUAUGUACGUGUAUAUGUACAAGUUAUUAUGUGUUAAGUUUUUCAAGUGUACAAUAAAGAAUAAAUAUCUUUAAGUACAGUACUUACGUACAUUAAUAAAAUACCUACUUUUAACUUGUAUCUAUUGUUAUCAAAAUUAAAUUAUAAGUUCUUGACUUGACCACGACUAUGUGACCCCCUCUUGGCGCCAAAGCUGGACCCGUCCUUGUCGUGUACAAAUAAAUGUUUUGACUGAUUUCAAUGAAACGAAAAUAUUUUCUUUCAACGUAGCUGCGAUACUAUCGUGAAAUGUAUACUCGUAAUAUAUAUAUUGAAAAUAUAACAAUACGAUAAUAAAUGAAGAUAUAAUAUUAUUGUUACAAUAAUGAACAAACUUCACAUGCAAUAAUUGAUCCAAGCACAGCAUGAGGGUUCAACAAACGGAGAACGGUAAGUAAGUAAUAAAUGAAGGAAUGAAUAUUAAAAUACAAUUAUUACUGUAUCAUUUUCUGAGCAUCAAAAGUAAAUUUCAACUGAAUCUCAAUAUCAGAGCUGAUGGUUGUAAAGUGUGCGGAUUUUAUUCAAUAUGAAUAAAAUUUAAGCACUGUUCAUUGGUAAUUAUUUGGGAACAGCUGGAACGAUUUGUCAUUAUUUUUUGAUUCGUAUUAAUACGGAUAUCAUAUAUUUUUUAAGAAAUAAUAACAUAGAUAAUGUCUGUCGGGGAGUCUAGCAGAUUGUAAUGAAACUCCAGAAUUUUGAUUACAUUUUAAACUCAUCUAAUAUGCUACACAUAAAAUAAACCAAGACAAACUAGUUUUUGUUACGAAUGCACUGUAUUAUAUCUCAUUGGCUAGACUAAUGACAUACAUUAAUUACAUUCUCAAUUAGCUCCUGACGGAAGCGGAUUUUAAUUACUAUAGUUUUAGAUGAACGUUUGAAUCGAACAAUUGCUUCUUAUGUUCUUAGUAUUCAGGCUCACUCUAGAAUUUUUCUAGCGCUACCCUCAGGGACCAUAGACAAAUGGAUUCGCUGUUGUAUCUUGUAUCACGAGAAUUAGAGUAGAUGACUGAUUCUCAUCAACGUCAAACAUGCCAACGGGUAAGACCAAGCUUACCGUUAACACAUUGAAAACUAUGACGGACCAUGAUGUGUCCACGGCAUACUUUCCCCUUGGGCCGCACCAAUAUAUCAAGAAUAGUUCAAAAAUUAUAUAAGUGUUUUUUCGCAAAUAUUGUCAAAAAGUAUCUCAAAAAUAAUUGGCGAUUUACGGAAACUAAUGGUAGUUUUCCAAUUACAGCACAAGAGCGCAUUAUGCGGCAUAAUGCUCAACGUUGAAUGUUCCAACUAUAGCAACGCUUCGCACAAUCGAGCACUCUCAAAAGUACUGCUCUCGCGUGAUACUCGCAAUCGAUACCAACUCAGUGACAGAAAAUUGACAAGUGUUUUUUCUUUAAAUUGGCAUUGAUCAAAAUUUUGUUUAUAUUAUCGUUAGUAAUAUGAUUUAAUGUUGAAAAAAAUUGUAAGGCUUUCGUUUCGUCGUAGUUUCUUAGAAAUAAUCAAUGUUAAUUAAAACUGUGCUAACUUAGCGCACUCUGCUGAUGCAUUUGAAAACUAAUUCACUUUCCAAUUAAGCUUCAGCAUAAUUCGGCAUUGUGCGUCACUGAGUCGCAUGCUCUGUAAUUGCAAAACUACCAAUGACUAGUCAUUAUUUUCCGAGGUGUCAAAUGUCCGUUGCGCCACCCUGGACCCAACUUAUUGGCGGUCACAGGGUGUCCGCCACGGCCUGCUGACCUAAGCAUGGUUUCUAGUCUAGAAAUUUCGUGUCCCCGGACAUGUCAUAAGCACCGUAGUGGAGAAUUGACAUUACUCAUUGACUAGAAUAUUAAUAUAAAGCUGUAAAUCAAUUUACUUUUUCCCCCCUUCCUAUUCGCUGGUAGCUUAAGGGAGCUAUUCCAGCUACGACCGGACGGGUAGGUGAGCUCACGGGCUCCUAAUACUAGCCCUAGCAAGAGUAGUGCUUCACAGAAUCUACUACCGGUUUGGAAUCGCGACCCGCUGAGAAGAUCCGGCGAGAAAGUUAGCGGGCUGAUGGUUAGCUUAGGUUGUACGUCGAAUUCUUUGUCGAGUUCGACGAGUACGGUUACCGGAGUCCCUGAGCCUGCUCCUAGUGCUAGAGCUAAAGGCGUCUAAUUCAGCAGUUGUUGGAUCUGAUGUAUCCGUAAGGAAGUGUAAGAGUGGAGAAUUCAUUACAGAUUUGAAUACGAAACAAAUGAUCUGUGGAUUCGUCCCCUUUUCAAUUUAUAAAACUCUUCGAAUCUGGCCGCAUAACCGAUUUGCGGGAGAAAUAUGCAUACUCUCAAAGUGAAUCAUAAUCAAUAGUUAAGAUAGGGACUGCAUAAAUAUUAAUGUUCAAUAUACACACCUUAGCCGUCUUCUUUCAUUCGAUGUUAGAACUGCAGGCAUACCUCGCAUGGCCAGCAGGUGGUUAACUGUAUGUGUUGGUAAGUGAUAUGAAGGACCUUGCUUGUUCAGCUGUUUCUGUAAAGGUUAUUACUAUCAUUGUAUUUUUGUAAUGUGACAUGUAUUUUUUUUUAGCUCAUUAAAAAAAACAAUCAUCUCUCAAAAUAUAUUUAUGUUUAGGAUUUAAAAAAAGCUAUUUCUUUGAUACUCAACACUAAAUAGGGAUGUAACGUUUUAAAGUUUCAAAAAUAUACUCUUACUUCUAUGUGAACAUUUCAAUUACAGAAUUACUUUGAUUAAUGUUGCUAGUGCUCUAUCAUCUCUGUAGUCUCUGGCUAGUUUUAGUCCUGUAUGUGCUCUCACAACGUGCCUCCGUAAAGCAGCCCGACGCAGCGCCAGCCUUGCACUUCGACUUUCUGCUGCUGUUUCUUCAACGCAGACCGGACCUCCGCCUGAUUCUGAAAUAUAACAGUGAUUUUCCAUUAAUAAAUAGUUAUUUACAUUGAAACUCAAUUGCAUUGUAUAAAUUGUCCUAUUUUUAUAUUUGCACACUCAGAAAAUAUCUUACUAACAAUUUCAAUAAAAAUAUAUUUAGUACAGAAUUCAUUUACAGUUAGUUUACAAUAAAAUAUAUUUUGUAACAGCUAAUGUAUGUGAAAAAAUAUUAUAAUAUUAAUGAACAAA